This 353-nucleotide RNase P RNA is filed under the name Acidimicrobiaceae bacterium. RNAcentral describes it as "RNase P RNA component class A". It matches the Rfam family "Bacterial RNase P class A". From Rfam's summary of the family: Ribonuclease P (RNase P) is a ubiquitous endoribonuclease, found in archaea, bacteria and eukarya as well as chloroplasts and mitochondria. Its best characterised activity is the generation of mature 5'-ends of tRNAs by cleaving the 5'-leader elements of precursor-tRNAs. Cellular RNase Ps are ribonucleoproteins. The record is from RNAcentral. Lineage: Bacteria; Bacillati; Actinomycetota; Acidimicrobiia; Acidimicrobiales; Acidimicrobiaceae.
UGAGUUGGCCGGGUGGUCGCGGCCGGGCACUGACCCGGUCGAGGAAAGUCGGGGCUCCGCAGGGCAGGGUGCUGGCUAGCGGCCAGUCGGGGCGACCCGCAGGAAAGUGCCACAGAAAGCAGACCGCCGAUGGACGGCUCCGGUCGUCACAGGUAAGGGUGCAACGGUGCGGUAAGAGCGCACCAGCGUCCGGGGUGACCCGGGCGGCUCGGCAAACCCCACCCGGAGCAAGGUCAAGCAGGGGACGGCUGGCCCGGCCGAUGUCCCCAGGUGGACCGCGCAGAUGGAUGGCCACCUAUCCGGGCCGGAAACGGUCUGGGUAACAGAACCCCGCUUACAGGCCAACUCACCGU